AGUGAACGCUGGCGGUAGGCCUAACACAUGCAAGUCGAACGGCAGCACAGUAAGAGCUUGCUCUUACGGGUGGCGAGUGGCGGACGGGUGAGGAAUACAUCGGAAUCUACUUUUUCGUGGGGGAUAACGUAGGGAAACUUACGCUAAUACCGCAUACGACCUACGGGUGAAAGCAGGGGAUCUUCGGACCUUGCGCGAGUGAAUGAGCCGAUGUAGGAUUAGCUAGUUGGCGGGGUAAAGGCCCACCAAGGCGACGAUCCGUAGCUGGUAUGAGAGGGUGAUCAGCCACACUGGAACUGAGACACGGUCCAGACUCCUACGGGAGGCAGCAGUGGGGAAUAUUGGACACUGGGCGCAAGCCUGAUCCAGCCAUACCGAGUGGGUGAAGAAGGCAUUCGGGUUGUAAAGCCCUUUUGUUGGGAAAGAAAAGCAGCAGGUUAAUACCCCGCUGUUCUGACGGUACCCAAAGAAUAAGCACCGGCUAACUUCGUG
This 492-nucleotide ribosomal RNA is filed under the name uncultured bacterium. Its description in RNAcentral is "partial 16S ribosomal RNA". It matches the Rfam family "Bacterial small subunit ribosomal RNA", at positions 29 to 507 of the family's 1533-position model. The record is from RNAcentral.